Molecule: unclassified non-coding RNA, 233 nt
Filed under: fungal sp.
Lineage: Eukaryota; Fungi
Description: partial internal transcribed spacer region
Rfam family: Eukaryotic small subunit ribosomal RNA (bases 1-46)
Source: RNAcentral
AAGUCGUAACAAGGUUUCCGUAGGUGAACCUGCGGAAGGAUCAUUAGUGAAAUCCAACGGUCGGUGUCCCGGCGCCUUGAUGGGUCGGGCCCUUCCAUCAUCUCACACACUUUUGUUGAACCGUAGGGAGUUGGUUAACGCCUUCUCUCACCCUUUCAAACUCUUAAAGUCUCAGAAUGAAGUUAUGGUGAAAACCAAAAACACAAUUUUCAACAACGGAUCUCUUGGCUCUC